This 258-nucleotide ribosomal RNA is filed under the name uncultured bacterium. RNAcentral's name for it is "partial 16S ribosomal RNA". It matches the Rfam family "Bacterial small subunit ribosomal RNA", at positions 524 to 776 of the family's 1533-position model. The record is from RNAcentral.
UACGUAGGGUGCAAGCGUUGUCCGGAAUUAUUGGGCGUAAAGAGCUCGUAGGCGGUUCGUCACGUCGGCUGUGAAAAUCCCGAGGCUCAACCUCGGGUCUGCAGUCGAUACGGGCGGACUGGAGUACUGCAGGGGAGACUGGAAUUCCUGGUGUAGCGGUGAAAAUGCGCAGAUAUCAGGAGGAACACCGGUGGCGAAGGCGGGGUCUCUGGGGCCGAUACUGACGCUGAGGAGCGAAAGCGUGGGGGAGCGAACAGG